AUUGAACGCUGGCGGCAUGCCUUACACAUGCAAGUCGAACGGCAGCACGGGGCAACCUGGUGGCGAGUGGCGAACGGGUGAGUAAUGCAUCGGAACGUACCUUUCAGUGGGGGAUAACGUAGCGAAAGUUACGCUAAUACCGCAUAUUCUGUGAGCAGGAAAGCAGGGGAUCGCAAGACCUUGCGCUGAUUGAGCGGCCGAUGUCAGAUUAGCUAGUUGGUGAGGUAAAGGCUCACCAAGGCGACGAUCUGUAGCGGGUCUGAGAGGAUGAUCCGCCACACUGGAACUGAGACACGGUCCAGACUCCUACGGGAGGCAGCAGAGGGGAAUUCUGGACAAUGGGGGCAACCCUGAUCCAGCCAUGCCGCGUGAGUGAAGAAGGCCUUCGGGUUGUAAAGCUCUUUCGGCCGGGAAGAAAUCGCACGGGCUAAUACCCUGUGUGGAUGACGGUACCGGAAUAAGAAGCACCGGCUAACUACGUGCCAGCAGCCGCCGCAG
RNAcentral lists this ribosomal RNA (498 nucleotides) under uncultured bacterium. Its description in RNAcentral is "partial 16S ribosomal RNA". It matches the Rfam family "Bacterial small subunit ribosomal RNA", at positions 30 to 523 of the family's 1533-position model. The record is from RNAcentral.